CCGUACGUGUGGCUGAGAAGUUGUCCAGGAAGAAAUCGGAGAGGUUCACUUAUCUUGUUGCUGCGGUGAUGUCCAGCUAUGGCUGUUUAUUACAGAUUUUACUGGCAAAUGGAGGGUGGGAAUGUGCCUUUGUCUGAAAUGUUGGGUACAUUUGCUCUAUCUGUUGGUGCUGCUGUGGGAAUGGAGUUUUGGGCAAGAUGGGCUCAUAAAGCUCUCUGGCACGCUUAUGGCAUAUGCACGAGUCUCACCACACAGACCCAGAGAAGGUCCAUUCGAGCUUAACGAUGGACUGAAA
Long non-coding RNA from Prunus persica (peach), 295 nucleotides. RefSeq lists it as uncharacterized. Lineage: Eukaryota; Viridiplantae; Streptophyta; Magnoliopsida; Rosales; Rosaceae. The transcript is spliced from 4 exons. The record is from RefSeq and is a predicted model, not a curated record.